Molecule: unclassified non-coding RNA, 404 nt
Filed under: soil metagenome
Description: partial contains 5.8S ribosomal RNA, internal transcribed spacer 2, and large subunit ribosomal RNA
Rfam family: 5.8S ribosomal RNA (bases 1-121)
Source: RNAcentral
GAUGAAGAACGUAGUGAAAUGCGAUAAGUAAUGUGAAUUGCAGAAUUCAGUGAAUCAUCGAAUCUUUGAACGCACCUUGCGCCCUUUGGCUAUUCCGAAGGGCAUGCCUGUUUGAGUAUCAUGAACACCUCAACCCUCAUGGUUUGCCAUGAUGGGCUUGGACUUUGGGGGUCUUGCUGGAUUGUAGUCAGCUCCCCUUAAAUGAAUCAGCUUGCCAGUGUUUGGUGGCAUCACAGGUGUGAUAAAUAUCUACGCUUGUGGUUUUACAUCAGAUAACCUUCAGUGAUGGAGGUUCACUGGAGCUCAUAAAGGUGUCUCUCCUCUGUGAGGACAGCUCUUUGAAUGUUUGAUCUCAAAUCAGGCAGGACUACCCGCUGAACUUAAGCAUAUCAAUAAGCGGAGGA